Long non-coding RNA from Mytilus trossulus (common blue mussel), 529 nucleotides. RefSeq lists it as uncharacterized. The transcript has 3 exons. NCBI's taxonomy places the organism in Eukaryota, Metazoa, Mollusca, Bivalvia, Mytilida, Mytilidae. The record is from RefSeq and is a predicted model, not a curated record.
UGCAUAAAAUAUAGAAAUCAACGACAACGGAAGCCGCAAUGAACGGUGUUUUAAUCUUUUGCUGACGACAACUUCCAAAUCUACAUAGGACCAGGAUUUUUUAAGGGAACAAGAAAUCUUCAUAGGGAUACAUAGAUUGAACAUUUUCUAAAUGGAUCCACAGAAAUCUGUGUCUCACCUGCAAUUGCUGCUGUUAGUGUAAAAGUGUGAUGUUGACUAUAAAAAUUUCAGCAACAGAAUGAAGAAUUCCUAGAGUCUAAUACGGUUUAUUAAACAGGAUUUUAUCAUUGAAUCAACAUCCUACAAGAAUAUAACAUACAAAUAAGUAAUUAUGUGCAGGGAAGAACAUUUAAACAAAACUGUAAGAGACAUACAGUGGUGGAGUAUUUUUAAAGAGACCGAAAGAGCAAUCAAUCGAUAAAAAACACCAAACAAAAAUCAAAAGGGAAACAUGUAGCAUGCUCUGCAUUGUGAAUGAAAACUAAAUCAACAAAGAUUUUUUUAAUGUUUUUUUGACAUGAGACAAGCA